UGAGCUUCAGGCCGUAACUGCUUGAUAAAUAGAGUUCCAGGGCUUCAAAAUGAAAACUGUUUUGCAGGCAUAUAGGUGACAUAUAGGGCUACAUUUCUGGAAAUUUUCAUGAUCAAAUCCUUCCCGAGCUGUAAAUUAUAGGCUCCCAAAGUCACUGCUGAAAACUGGGCGGAAACUGUACUUCAAAGAAACGUGAGUUUUCUCCAUGCCAUCACUUCACACACCUUCCUACCACCCAAUGAUGGUCAAAUAACCUUAUUACCUACAAGAUGAAACUCAAAAGAUCAAAUUACCUAAGGUUGCCUCCCUAGAAGCGCUUGAGAUUAAAGACGUCAAGCCGGUCUUCAAACAACACAAACGAAAUGAAGAAAUUAAACACAAAGGAAAAGAAGUGGAAAAGCGGCCCAAAGCUACCUAAAUAGGUACACCACGGCCUUGGAACACAAAGAGGUGCUCCACACUUCCUCUACAACACAAACUAAGAUACACAAACAUUUUUUUUUUGUGGCAUAACAAGUUGCCAAACAUUUUUCAUUAUUUCACACACAAAGAAAGAAGCAAAGAGGAAACUACAAAGAACAUGCAAGUGACUAAAUGACCAUGUGAAUAACAGAUUUCUCCUCUUGCUUACUUGUACAAAAUAAAAUCAAGUUACUGAUUCUCCAAUAAAGAACCAAUUCAAUUUGUCAUAUAAAUGAGAACCCUACCCUAAAUCAACGAACCAUAAUAUCAGUUAGCACCCGCAGAUAACUCCCAUCACAUAAAUUCUCCCAAAUCCCUAAUUCCCACAUCGUAUACCAAAGAAGAUGAUUUUAACUUCUGGUAUCAAAAUCACGAUGGACGUCUAAGUGAUUUUUGCAAUAAAUGAACCCCAACUGAAAAGAAAAGAAAAACAGGACCAGCUCAAAUUCACAAACAUUAAAAAAUGAAAAUCUAGGGAAAAUUGAAAGGAUUACCAAGACCACAAAAAUAGACGAAGUCACUACCGUCCAGAGCCAACCAAAUCCAAAACCUCCCUAGUCCCCUUCACCAUAAUUUCAGUAGCUGAUACCAUGACAACAAUAAGAAAACCCAUAAUCAGCAUCCAAUUUACACAGAACCUGAAUUAAAAAUUGAACAGAAAAUUUGUUAAAGGUAUACCGCAGCCACAGAUAGGAUACUGCAAUCAACUUGUAUACUGCAAUCAACCCUAUACCCAAUCAGUUAAAAACCAACGGCAACAGUAAACAAAAUCAAAACCCACAAAAACAUAAUUAUUGAGGAAUCUGAAGCAAAUAGACAUGCAUGAUUUUCAAUUGGAACUGUGGCCAUAUGCAUAAAAUACAUGAGCAGUGGAAUACCUACUGAAUCUUUUUGGCUUCAAAUCAAAGAGGAUUCCCAAUACCACCAACUUGUAAUUACACACACAGCAGAAUACUACCAUGUUCGUUAAGUUUAACUAAUCUAUUCCUAGUUAAUUUGUGUAUGUUAACCUGUAUUGAAAAGUAUACUUUAUACUUUAUAGCAAUAUGCAAGUCCAAUGGCAUUCCUCAUUUCUUUACUUCUCUGUGCCCAUCAUAAAGUAUAUGUAUCCACAAUAAAAGUCUAAUCACAUUUUCUUCUCUUUGCCAAUUAUUAAGUAUACUUCUCUUUGCCUAAACUGUAAUCAGACCAAAUGGAUUGCACCACACAAUACAAACUAAUCCAUACAGAUUAUAAAUGUCAUCAACAACUGAGUUUAAUUUUAGCUACAAAUUCCAAACUACUAUUGGCAAGGAACACUGUUUUGGAUGGCUUCUAUCAAAUUGUAAAUCCAAGAAAUUCAUGAAACAUGGAAAUACAAUUUAAUAGGCAUCAUCUAUCUGUAAAAAUUUCCCAAACUGCAGUCCUUCUCAACCUUAACAAAGACCUUUAUAACAUUUUAAUUCUGAAGCAUUUUACUUUACCAUGAUAAUGCCAUGGCUCAGAGUCAGGUAAAUGUGGUUACGGUAUCACCCAGGAAAAUUGAGCAAGCAACCCUUUGAAUAAGACGUGCAAACAAAAAGAAUAAACACAAAUGGUUUUGGCUCUUGAUAGCCUAGUGUUGCAGUGGUUGCUCUUCCUGUAGUAGUGGUGGUAUUAUUACCUAAGUAGUUUUCCUGCCUCAAUAAGAUCACUAAGCCUUUCCCUAUUGACAAAUAAAGUCCAGCAGUCAGCUAUUGUCAUUCAUACUGUCCGAAAAUUGCAGGCACAUUCAUACUGUCUGAAAUUUUUAGAAAUUUACCUUUGCAAUUGUGAAAACUCGUACCCAGAAGCUCUGAUAUUUACCUUUGCAAUAGUAAAUUUUUUUGAAGGAUCAGAUUUCAUAUUCUAUUUUUUUCUAUGACAUCAUCACCUGCAAAGAAAAAAUGAAGUAUAUAGUGGACUUCAGUGUUAAGCCAACAGAAUGAAGACAGAGAAAAAAAAACCAUCUGAAGUUCUAAUACAUUUAAAAAAAAAAAAUAUACAUGAACAAAAGGAAAUAGAGAUAACAAUAAUAUCUACCAUUGAUAUGCAAGACCUAGCACUUACAAGUUUGAAGCACAAUUCUCAAGCACGAACACCAAUCUUCUAAAACUCUAAUGGAUCAGAUAAAAACUGUAAAUAAACAUGACUUGAGAGCCACAAAACCCAAACUAAGUGUAAACUUCAAAAAUUCAUUUUUCACAUGAGAAGCUUUAGAAAUCUGGCUUGAAAAUCAGACACGGACAAUCACAGCUACCGAAAUCCUCUUUCUCUCUGUCACAAAAAAGCGGUCUCAAUUCAAAAUUCGAUACCCAUAUCUCAAAUUGCCAAUAAAUGAAAAACACAGAACCAAAUUUCAAAUUUACCAUGAAAAAAGAAAACCAAAUGAUAACCCAAAACCAAAACUGAUUUCAAACAAAGAAUUACCGAGACUGCUAUGCCAAUCGACCGGACAAGAACAACAGAAAAAGCAUUACACUUCAAUAAGAGGAUGGUGAAAAACAGGAAAGGAGAUAAAAGCAAUUGAACUAGUAAUUACAUUCACCAUCUUUAGUUUCCAGCCAGGUCCAGUGAUAUCUGCAAUUUUGUAUUCUGGUGGCACUCGAAAGCAAAAAGAAGAAAGAAAGAAAGAGAAGUCAUAUUGAUACUCAGAUUAAGCAAACAUGAAAAUUAAAUCAAGCAGAUGAAAGCAAAGUUUUCUUUCUUUGAAGCCACUAUAUAAUCGAUACAGUUUUCUUUAUUUGAGUACAUUGCAUGUAAAGUUUGUAACUUUACCUGAAAAAAUGCUUAAAAAUGAAACUCAAAUCAGCAAGUUAUAUACUGAAAUUCGGUGCAAUUGAUCAUUGAGGUGCUAGACUGCAGCAGAGACAAAACCCAAAUCAGCUCAUAUCAAGGAAACAGAAAACCCGGUCCAAAAUAACAAUGUGCAUCACAUUCUUCAUCAGAUAAAACAUGCUGUUAUGUUUGAAAAGAUAUCGACUGCCGAAGAUCAAAGCAAUUGAGCUAGUACUUACAUUCACCAUCUUUAGUUUCCAGCCAGGUCCAGUUUUCUCUCCAAUUUAGUAUUCAGGUGGCACUCGAUAGCAAAAAGAAGAAAGAAAGAAAGAAAGAAAUGAAAAUCAGAUUGAAACUCAGAAAGAAAGAAAUACAGUUUUCUUUAUUUGAGUAUAUUGCAUGUAAACUGUAACUUUACCACUGCUAAAAAAUGAAAAUCAAAUCAGCAAGCUAUAUACUGGAAUUCGGUGCAAUCGAUCAUUGAGGUCCUAGACCGCAGAACAGACAAACGCCGAAUCAGCUCAAAUCAGGUAAUGGGAACGGUUAUCCUUCUUGAAAUGAUAAGCUCAAUCUCAAACGGUAUAAAAACCACACAAAAACGGAAUGAAAAAAUUUGAAAAUUCAAAAGCACUCAACUUAUCUAUUCGAUCUGAGCAGAGGAUUGGGAACUUCCCAAAUCUGUAGUCCCACGAAUCCAUCUUGGGGAAAAUUUAUAUUGCACUCUUUGCAUUGAAACACCAAAUUUUAUGCCAACAAAAAAAAAAUUCAAAUGAAAACACAACAAAAAUUCAAAUGCAAACGCAAAAGCCAAUAAAAUCGAGCAUAACAACAUCAAGAAUACACCUGAGAAACUAACAAAUUGGAUCCCGCCCAAAAUCAACCAAACUCGACCAAGCACAUGUUAACAAAUCCUCCAUAGAUUUUCACUCAAAGAUAUCUCAUCGGCUCUACACCGAAAAUGGAAAAAAAAUAUAUGGAUAGAACCAAAAGAAAAGGAUAAGAAAUACUGAGACAUUAAAGCUGCUCAAAAUAUGGACAAAUUAGAUAAUGCUUGAUCCUAUAGAUGAAGAACGACACCCUCUAUAAAAAAAAUGUGAGAUUUAUACCCAAUUGAGGAGUUCAAGAACCAGAUAAGUCCCUGAAUCCAACAGGUUCCAUACUGAAAAAGAACAACAGUAGCCUGACUUCACAUCUCAAAAACAUUCUUAAUACCCAGUCGAAAUAGCAAAUAAAUGUUGAUUAAAAAGUACUCGAGGUACCCAUCGAGUCUGAGCCAUCAAUUAUGGAUUUAAUAACCCAUAAGGCAAUGCAAUUGUACCAAUGAAAGAAAUUUCGACCCAAGCAAAAAAAAGAAAUCAAUUCUAAUGAUACCAGACUUCCUACAACUACAAUUCUAUCACUGAAGUUCUUGUCAAUUGUUGACAACCGAAAUGAAUAUCUCGAUAGCAAAACAAUCGCUCUACAGGUAAAUCGACACAGUGAAUACGAAAGAACAUCAAUGGAUGAUGCAUAUCACCAGACAAUGGAAUAUUUCGAAAGUUCUACUCACCUCAAACACUUCUCCCAAGGCAAGCCUUCAACUUCUAUCCCUCUCUUCCAAAUCGCCAGAGCUCCCCCUAGCCCCUGCAGUCCCCGUCAGUAUAACCGUUUCUAAAGUUCUUGAAAAAAUAAAAUACCAACUGCUCCUCGUACUACUCAGACCUCAUUUAAACCAAUGAUAAAGUAAAAUGAAAUUAGAUAUAAAAAAAUAUAUAUUUAAAUAAAUAAAAUCGGGACAUCACACAAAUGAUAACCCAUAACAAAAAUUGAAAUCAAACAAAGAAUUACCCCGACUGCUAUGCCAAUUGACCGCACAUGAACAACAGAAAAGGCAUUGCACUAUAAUAAGAGGAUGGUGAAAAACAGGAAAGAUGAUUGAAGCAAUUGAGCUAGUACUUACAUUCACCAUCUUUAGUUUCCAGCCAGGUCCAGUUAUCUCUCCAAUUUUGUAUUCUGGUGGCAUUCGAUAGCCAAAAAGAAGAAAGAAAGAAAAAUCAGAUUGAAACUCAGAUUAAGCAAACAUGAAAAUUAAAUCAAGCAGAUGAAAGCAAAGUUUUCUUUUUUUUUCGAAGCCACUAUACAACCGACACAAUUUUCUUUAUUUGGGUACAUUGCAGGUAAACACUGUAACUUGACCUGAAAAACUGCUUAAAAAUGAAACUCAAAUAAGCAAGCUAUAUACAGGAAUUCGGUGCAAUCAAUAAGCCUUGGCAAUGUGCUUUACGUUGAAUGCUCUUGAUAAUUAUUAUUAUGCAAUUAUUAUUAUGCAGAACCACACAUUAUAUUUAAGUGCGCAUGUAAAAUAAGCAAAAUGUGCACAAAAAAGACUCUAGAGUCAUUGUGUGUCAAGAGAUAUGGGUCUUCAAAGAUGACUGAGCUGCAGUCUCAGUUUUGCAUUUUAUGGCUCUGACCCCUGCCUCUUUGAAUGGGGACUGAAACUUCAUCUUCUUUCCAUUGAAAAUUCUGUUCACACAGUGAAAAAGUAGAGACCCGGAGCUUGAAGUAAUUAUUCCUUGUAGAUAUCUCACAGUAGCUAGGCAAAUUUGACACACAGUUUCUGAAAUCUGCUGCUGACCCCAAGUCACCAAAACUGCAAUAACUGAUGCCCCAGAGAUGCAAAGGGGGUGAGACCACUUGUGAAUGAAAGGUUACACACAAUACUGACUUCCCGUAAAAUUUUAACUCAUUGUCAACUGGGAAAUAUCUCUCUUUAAAGUUGACUGUUCUGCUCUCCAGUUUCAGCCUCCUCUGCUCUGACCCUUGCUUCACCAAAUAAGAAGCUAGGAAGUUCUAACAUGAAAACUGUUUUUCUGGGGUACAGUAGACAUGUCAAGGCACAACAUAUAAAAGUUUCAGCUCAAAAUAUCACCAGGUUAAGGAGUUGUAGCUUCCAAAGUACAGAAGCUGCACUGAUUCUGAGCUUCAGGCCGUAACUGCUUGAUAAAUGGAGCUCCAGGGCUUCAAAAUGAAAACUGUUUUGCAGGCAGAUAGGUGACAUAUAGGGCUACAUUUCUGGAAAUUUUCAUGAUCAAAUCCUUCCCGAGCUGUAAAUUAUAGGUUCCCAAAGUCACUGCUGAAAACUGGACUUCAACCAAUCGUGAGUUUUCUCCAUGCCAUCACUUCACACACCUUCCUACCACCCAAUGAUGGUCAAAUAACCUUAUUAC
Molecule: long non-coding RNA, 6443 nt
Filed under: Fragaria vesca (wild strawberry)
Lineage: Eukaryota; Viridiplantae; Streptophyta; Magnoliopsida; Rosales; Rosaceae
Description: long non-coding RNA (FVES_LNC003336)
Source: RNAcentral